CUCUUCCUUCUUUAGAAAGCAUCGCUGAGCAUUUGUUGUUCCCUAGUGUUGAGGGAAGCGUCUGGUAGCAUUUCAGUUAACGGAAUUUGAGGCACUCUCCUUUCCGUCCGUUUGUUAGAAUCUUGGUUUUAACCGUAAAAUUGCAGCCGUUGAGAGGGCUUGGGUUCUAGCUAGUACGCAGUAGCUACGGUAAGUGACUGGAGACAAAUGCAGACGAGCGCGGAGCUCCAGGCAGCCUCUGGGCCCAGGAUAGCACCUGCGUACACUGUUCCCUAAAUCGGAGGCACUUAGCCUUUCGGGAAACAGAGUCCGGGUAACUUUUGGGGAACAGAGGCCAUCCUUUUUUUUUGAUCCCAUUAUAUAUCCUUUUUUUGAUAGGUGUAACACUGCUUUGCUGUUUUAGUAGGUGCUUAGGAUUUACAGUGUGCAAUGUUAACUUUAUCAUAUUUCAUCUUCAAGUACUAUGUAGAUCAUUCCGCCUACAAUAUAAGAAGCUUACAAUAGGAUAUUUCCAUUUCUCCCCCAACCUUGGUUUUCAUACUGUUGUUGCAUAUGAACUUUUACAGAUGUUCUCAAUGCCACAACUAUCCCCAAUUUGCUGUCUUUUUACCUCUGCCUGCAGGACUUUCUUUAACAUUUCUAGUUGGUGACGGCAGCAAAGUCCAGAGGUAAAGAGGAAACUGUAUGUCCUUAGAUGGGGAUGGAUUCAUUUGGAGAAGUUUCAACUUGGCGAGUAAGUUUAUUUGCUCAAGUUGCUUUGCGUUGCAAAUGAUUUUCUGAGAAUUUGUCUUUAAGGAAAAAUAAUCUAUGUCUAAUGUGGAUAGGGUUGAAUAUGUGUGUGUCUUACUUUGCUGGUCAGGAGCACAAUGAGCAAGGAGCUGGCCCCUGGGUUGGCUCCCAGGAAAAACAGGUGGGCCGCCUCUAGCUUGGGAUCCCGUCAGUUCUGUGCAGCAGUCCUGAGGACCGGACCAGCACGGAGAGUACAAGGCUGCCCAGAGCCCUUGUGAAGGUGCCUCCCACCAGAGGAUGAAGACAGGCCCCCUGUGCAGAAGCGGAGGAUGACUCCUGUCCCUGCCAGGCAAUGCAGAGUGAAGAAGUUUGGUAAAUAGUCACAGCCCCUGAGGCGGGUAGAAAUCCAUUUGAACAGCACACAAGCAAUUCAGACUGACAUAUAAGAAGGUCAGAAGACAGUUCUCCUGCCUACUCUGCCAUGGACUAUUUCCCCUCUGCAGUGUCUCUCUGCCAUGGUGCCCUGCCUUGGAGCCAGCUGAUAAUAGAUUGAAACCUCUGCAAACUGUGAGCCAGAAUAAACCUUUCCUCUUUUUAACCUGGGGGUGUUGAGUAUUUUGCCCCAGCAAUAAAAAAUAAGUAAGACAACCAGACCUCCAACUUCCACCUCAAUGGCAGUUUGAAUUAGAAAUGUAAAAUUUAGAACCAAAAUUCUGGUUGCUCAUUGUCCCUCCAUGGACUCCCCAGCUCCGGGAGGAAGUACGAUGUGCUGAUUAUCUUUGGCUUCUUCUGGAAGAGUCUGGAAUCUUCUAGAUUAUCCAAACAAGAGGCUUCUCUGAUCCAUCCCUGGACUGUGAUUGAUGUCAGCUUGGUCUUUGUGCUGAAAUAGCUCACCUUCCCCAGGCCCAGAGAUCCGGAAGGUGGGGAGAGAGACCCUGUCAGCCUUCAUGGGGCCAUUUUUCUAGAUGAGAAUAUUGACACAUUAAGUCACUAGCAGCUACAGUUUCAGUCAACUUACAAAUCCACCGUCAUCUCUUUUUUUUUGGUACUGGGGAUCGAACUCAGGACCUUGUGUUUGUGAGGCAGGUGGCGGCACCACUGAGCUAGAUCCCCAGCCCACCGACCCCUUUAUUCUUAACUGCAGUCCUGAGCCCUCAUUUCCAGUUGUGGUUCACAGACAUUUUGCACCUCACUCCAAAACUCACUCAGGAAGCUUUAGGUUAGACCCAGCUUCCUGCUUUAUAAGAAAGACUGACUUACGGUGAUUAUGCCUGGGGACUAGAGUACCUUGGGAGAAGAUGGAGUGUGUUGUGUGCACUCACACUUUUGCUUUUUCCCUUACUUCACAUCUGCACUUCUUACCACACUGCAAACAUAACUAAACAUCAUGACCAUGAAACCACAUACUCAAUCCCCAAUCCCAUUUCCUUAUGUGUCACUAACAUAUCUGUCCCUAAAUUUGGCUGAUUGCACACAACUUAAGUCUUUGCCUCCUACUCUGUGCAAACCCAUCCGGUAAUGUGUCAAUGGCAGGGUGCCACCCUGAAGUGCAUAUUUGUAAAUGUGCCAUCAUACUGACAAAUACCUGUGACCCUAAAUUUGAAGAUGGAUAGUUAAUUAUUCAGGGGGAGAAAUUCCUCCAGAAGCAGUGGCACAGGGGACAGGAAGAUCUCCCAGGUGGGCUCAGGUCAUAAGCACUGUGGAUAUGAACUAGGAUGAACACAUAGCAAUAAUUCUCUUCCAUUUCUGAAUAUGCAGCCUGUUCCAUUUGAUACCUCCUUGUUCCACAUUCACUUUGUUGUAACUAAAUCCUGACAAACAGUAGAAAUACAACUUUUAGGGAGAAAUGGAAAUUUAUGCCUAGUGGGUAUUCACUGGGGACAAAAAUCAG
Heterocephalus glaber (naked mole-rat) is the source of this 2620-nucleotide long non-coding RNA. The record is from Ensembl. Lineage: Eukaryota; Metazoa; Chordata; Mammalia; Rodentia; Bathyergidae.